CGUGGGACGGAAGGAUUCGAACCUUCGUAAUGACGGGACCAAAACCCGUUGCCUUACCGCUUGGCGACGCCC
This 72-nucleotide transfer RNA is filed under the name Oreobolus obtusangulus. RNAcentral's name for it is "tRNA-Gln". The record is from RNAcentral. Lineage: Eukaryota; Viridiplantae; Streptophyta; Magnoliopsida; Poales; Cyperaceae. RNAcentral also lists the same sequence under 1 other name.